This 765-nucleotide ribosomal RNA is filed under the name uncultured Treponema sp. RNAcentral's name for it is "bacterial SSU rRNA". It matches the Rfam family "Bacterial small subunit ribosomal RNA", at positions 28 to 776 of the family's 1533-position model. The record is from RNAcentral. Lineage: Bacteria; Pseudomonadati; Spirochaetota; Spirochaetia; Treponematales; Treponemataceae.
AACGAACGCUGGCGGCGCGUCUUAAGCAUGCAAGUCGAACGGCAAGAGAGGAGCUUGCUUCUCUCCUAGAGUGGCGGACUGGUGAGGAACACGUGGGUAAUCUACCCUUAAGAUGGGGAUAGCUGCUAGAAAUAGCAGGUAAUACCGAAUACACUCGGCAUAGCACAAGAGAUGUUGAGGAAAGGAAGCUACGGCUUCGCUUGAGGAUGAGCUUGCGUCCCAUUAGCUAGUUGGUGAGGUAAAGGCCCACCAAGGCGACGAUGGGUAUCCGGCCUGAGAGGGUGAACGGACACAUUGGGACUGAGAUACGGCCCAAACUCCUACGGGAGGCAGCAGCUAAGAAUAUUCCGCAAUGGACGGAAGUCUGACGGAGCGACGCCGCGUGGAUGAAGAAGGCUGAAAAGUUGUAAAAUCCUUUUGUUGAUGAAGAAUAAGGGUGAGAGGGAAUGCUCAUCUGAUGACGGUAAUCGACGAAUAAGCCCCGGCUAAUUACGUGCCAGCAGCCGCGGUAACACGUAAGGGGCGAGCGUUGUUCGGAAUUAUUGGGCGUAAAGGGCAUGUAGGCGGCUAUGUAAGCCUGAUGUGAAAUCCUGGGGCUUAACCCUAGAAUAGCAUUGGGUACUGUAUAGCUUGAAUUACGGAAGGGAAACUGGAAUUCCAAGUGUAGGGGUGGAAUCUGUAGAUAUUUGGAAGAACACCGGUGGCGAAGGCGGGUUUCUGGCCGAUAAUUGACGCUGAGAUGCGAAAGUGUGGGGAUCGAACAGG